GAGUGAGGAUUGAGAUGAGAGAGAUGAUGAGAAUGGAGGAUAAGGGAGGGAGGAGGAACAAAAGUGAAAACAAUUUCAAAUAUAUUUCAGUUUUUAGUUUUUGUUUUCACUUUUGUUACUCCUUCCUCUUAUCCUCUCUUUUCAUCUUCUCUCUCAAUCUCAUCUUCACUCAAUUUCAUUCU
RNAcentral lists this small nucleolar RNA (182 nucleotides) under Prunus dulcis (almond). RNAcentral describes it as "sRNA ncRNA". Lineage: Eukaryota; Viridiplantae; Streptophyta; Magnoliopsida; Rosales; Rosaceae. The record is from RNAcentral.